Molecule: ribosomal RNA, 531 nt
Filed under: uncultured haloarchaeon
Lineage: Archaea; Methanobacteriati; Methanobacteriota; Halobacteria; Halobacteriales; Halobacteriaceae
Description: bacterial SSU rRNA
Rfam family: Archaeal small subunit ribosomal RNA
Source: RNAcentral
AUUCCGGUUGAUCCUGCCGGAGGCCAUUGCUAUCGGAGUCCGAUUUAGCCAUGCUAGUCGUGCGAGUUCAGACUCGCGGCACCGAGCUCAGUAACACGUGGCCAAACUACCCUACAGAGACGGAUACCCUCGGGAAACUGAGGUUAACCCGUCAUACCGAUCUCAGGCUUGAAUCGCAGAGAUCACAAAACGCCCCGGCGCUGUAGGAUGUGGCUGCGGUUGAUUAGGUAGACGGUGGGGUAACGGCCCACCGUGCCCAUAAUCAGUACAGGUUGUGAGAGCAAGAACCUGGAGACGGAAUCUGAGACAAGAUUCCGGGCCCUACGGGGCGCAGCAGGCGCGAAACCUUUACACUGCACGCACGUGCGAUAAGGGGACUCCGAGUGCGAGGGCAUAUCGUCCUCGCUUUCGUGUACCGUAGGGUGGUACACCAACAAGGGCUGGGCAAGACCGGUGCCAGCCGCCGCGGUAAUACCGGCAGCCCGAGUGAUGGCCGAUCUUAUUGGGCCUAAAGCGUCCGUAGCUAAGGGC